CCCUCUAGUGGGGGGCAGUGGUAUUACAGGUAGGAGCUCCCCUCUAGUGGGGGGCAGUGGUAUUACAGGUGGGGCGCUCCCCUCUAGUGGGGGGCAGUGGUACUACAGGUGGGGCGCUCCCCUCUAGUGGGGGGUAGUGGUACUACAGGUGGGGCGCUCCCCUCUAGUGGGGG
Long non-coding RNA from Pseudoliparis swirei, 173 nucleotides. RefSeq lists it as uncharacterized. Lineage: Eukaryota; Metazoa; Chordata; Actinopteri; Perciformes; Liparidae. The record is from RefSeq and is a predicted model, not a curated record. The transcript has 3 exons.